RNAcentral lists this transfer RNA (57 nucleotides) under Macropicola ocydromi. RNAcentral's name for it is "tRNA-Pro". Lineage: Eukaryota; Metazoa; Nematoda; Chromadorea; Rhabditida; Strongylidae. The record is from RNAcentral.
CAGUAUGUAGUUUAAAUUAAAAUAUAGUAUUUGGGUUAUUAAGAUUAAAUUACUGAA